GGGACCGUAGCUCAGACUGAGAAGACAAAGCUUAAGACGCUGAAGACGUAGGUGUCCUGGAUUCAAAUUCCAGCGGUCCCA
This 81-nucleotide transfer RNA is filed under the name Candidatus Woesearchaeota archaeon. Its description in RNAcentral is "tRNA-Leu". It matches the Rfam family "tRNA". Rfam says of the family: Transfer RNA (tRNA) molecules are approximately 80 nucleotides in length. Lineage: Archaea; Nanobdellati; Candidatus Woesearchaeota. The record is from RNAcentral.